This 352-nucleotide unclassified non-coding RNA is filed under the name soil metagenome. RNAcentral describes it as "partial contains 5.8S ribosomal RNA, internal transcribed spacer 2, and large subunit ribosomal RNA". The stretch from base 1 to 120 matches the Rfam family "5.8S ribosomal RNA", at positions 35 to 154 of the family's 154-position model. The record is from RNAcentral.
GAUGAAGAACGUAGUGAAAUGCGAUAAGUAAUGUGAAUUGCAGAAUUCAGUGAAUCAUCGAAUCUUUGAACGCACAUUGCGCCCGCCAGUAUUCUGGCGGGCAUGCCUGUUCGAGCGUCAUUACAACCCUCAGGCCCCCGGGCCUGGCGUUGGGGAUCGGCGGAGCCCCCCGUGGGCACACGCCGUCCCCCAAAUGCAGUGGCGGUCCCGCCGCAGCUUCCAUCGCGUAGUAGCUAACACCUCGCGACUGGAGAGCGGCGCGGCCACGCCGUAAAACACCCAACUCUUCUGAAGUUGACCUCGAAUCAGGUAGGAAUACCCGCUGAACUUAAGCAUAUCAUUAAGCGGAGGA